RNAcentral lists this ribosomal RNA (478 nucleotides) under uncultured bacterium. Its description in RNAcentral is "partial 16S ribosomal RNA". It matches the Rfam family "Bacterial small subunit ribosomal RNA", at positions 28 to 523 of the family's 1533-position model. The record is from RNAcentral.
GACGAACGCUGGCGGCGUGCUUAACACAUGCAAGUCGAACGGUGAGGCCCUUCGGGGUACACGAGUGGCGAACGGGUGAGUAACACGUGGGUGAUCUGCCCUGCACUUCGGGAUAAGCCUGGGAAACUGGGUCUAAUACCGGAUAGGACUCCGGACUGCAUGGUCUGGGGUGGAAAGCUUUUGCGGUGUGGGAUGGGCCCGCGGCCUAUCAGCUUGUUGGUGGGGUGAUGGCCUACCAAGGCGACGACGGGUAGCCGGCCUGAGAGGGUGACCGGCCACACUGGGACUGAGAUACGGCCCAGACUCCUACGGGAGGCAGCAGUGGGGAAUAUUGCACAAUGGGCGCAAGCCUGAUGCAGCGACGCCGCGUGAGGGAUGACGGCCUUCGGGUUGUAAACCUCUUUCAGCACAGACGAAGCGCAAGUGACGGUAUGUGCAGAAGAAGGACCGGCCAACUACGUGCCAGCAGCCGCCGCGG